UAGGGAAUCUUCCACAAUGGGCGAAAGCCUGAUGGAGCAACGCCGCGUGUGUGAAGAAGGUUUUCGGAUCGUAAAGCUCUGUUGUAAGAGAAGAACGUGUGUGAGAGUGGAAAGUUCACACAGUGACGGUAACUUACCAGAAAGGGACGGCUAACUACGUGCCAG
This 165-nucleotide ribosomal RNA is filed under the name uncultured bacterium. RNAcentral's name for it is "partial 16S rRNA". It matches the Rfam family "Bacterial small subunit ribosomal RNA", at positions 355 to 511 of the family's 1533-position model. The record is from RNAcentral.